This 468-nucleotide ribosomal RNA is filed under the name uncultured bacterium. RNAcentral describes it as "partial 16S ribosomal RNA". It matches the Rfam family "Bacterial small subunit ribosomal RNA", at positions 28 to 507 of the family's 1533-position model. The record is from RNAcentral.
GACGAACGCUGGCGGCGUGCUUAACACAUGCAAGUCGAACGGAAAGGCCCUGCUUUUGUGGGGUGCUCGAGUGGCGAACGGGUGAGUAACACGUGAGUAACCUGCCCUUGACUUUGGGAUAACUUCGGGAAACUGGGGCUAAUACCGGAUAGGAGCUCCUGCUGCAUGGUGGGGGUUGGAAAGUUUCGGCGGUUGGGGAUGGACUCGCGGCUUAUCAGCUUGUUGGUGGGGUAGUGGCUUACCAAGGCUUUGACGGGUAGCCGGCCUGAGAGGGUGACCGGCCACAUUGGGACUGAGAUACGGCCCAGACUCCUACGGGAGGCAGCAGUGGGGAAUAUUGCACAAUGGGCGGAAGCCUGAGGCAGCAACGCCGCGUGCGGGAUGACGGCCUUCGGGUUGUAAACCGCUUUCGCCUGUGACGAGGCGUGAGUGACGGUAAUGGGUAAAGAAGCACCGGCUAACUACGUG